CCGUAGCCCAAGAGAUCGGGAUAACACCUGGAAACAGAUGCUAAUACCGGAUAACACCAGAUGAUGCCUAUCAACUGUUUAAAAGAUGGUUCUGCUAUCACUCUUGGAUGGACCUGCGGUGCAUUAGCUAGUUGGUAGGGUAACGGCCUACCAAGGCGAUGAUGCAUAGCCGAGUUGAGAGACUGAUCGGCCACAUUGGGACUGAGACACGGCCCAAACUCCUACGGGAGGCAGCAGGC
RNAcentral lists this ribosomal RNA (239 nucleotides) under uncultured Lactobacillus sp. RNAcentral's name for it is "partial 16S ribosomal RNA". It matches the Rfam family "Bacterial small subunit ribosomal RNA", at positions 125 to 354 of the family's 1533-position model. The record is from RNAcentral. Lineage: Bacteria; Bacillati; Bacillota; Bacilli; Lactobacillales; Lactobacillaceae.